This 305-nucleotide small RNA is filed under the name Histoplasma capsulatum var. duboisii H88. RNAcentral describes it as "Histoplasma capsulatum H88 hypothetical RNA". Lineage: Eukaryota; Fungi; Ascomycota; Eurotiomycetes; Onygenales; Ajellomycetaceae. The record is from RNAcentral.
CCCGAAAUAUCCUUGUGCCCUCGUUGCUGGGGAGCACAUAGAUAAGCUACAUCUUUGCUUCAGCAGCUCCAGUAGUGUGAUGAAUAGCAAUCAGAUGUUACUUUUUCACGCGCGAGCCCAGAAGCGUUUGCACAACAGGAGUGUUCACAAUUGGCUACUGAGUAUGUAAGUAUUUGCAUUUUCGUACAGUACCUCAUGGAUUAAGUAUGGACUCCGCCCGAAGAGCUUCAUUAGUGCUGUACCUUACUGUUCCCUGUGAGAGUUGGUAUUGAGAACACAACUGCGUAUGUAGUAUAAACUGCGAA